This 442-nucleotide ribosomal RNA is filed under the name uncultured bacterium. RNAcentral describes it as "partial 16S ribosomal RNA". It matches the Rfam family "Bacterial small subunit ribosomal RNA", at positions 338 to 795 of the family's 1533-position model. The record is from RNAcentral.
CCUACGGGGGGCAGCAGUAGGGAAUCUUUCACAAUGGGCGAAAGCCUGAUGGAGCAACGCCGCGUGCAGGAUGAAGGCCUUCGGGUUGUAAACUGCUUUUAUAAGCGAGAAAUAUGAUGGUAACUUAUGAAUAAGGAUCGGCUAACUACGUGCCAGCAGCCGCGGUCAUACGUAGGAUCCGAGCAUUAUCCGGAGUGACUGGGUGUAAAGAGUUUCGUAGGUGGCAUAAUAAGUAGCUAGUGAAAUCUGGUGGCUCAACCAUUCAGACUAUUAGCUAAACUGGUAAGCUCGAGACCGUUAGGGGUAACUGGAAUUUCUAGUGUAGGAGUGAAAUCCGUAGAUAUUAGAAGGAACACCAAUAGCGUAGGCAGGUUGCUGGGACGGUUCUGACACUAAGGCACGAAAGCGUAGGGAGCAAACGGGAUUAGAUACCCCAGUAGUC